UCAGGCCUGCCCAAUGAAUAUUUAAUGGCUGCAGUAUUUUGACUGUACAAAGGUAGCAUAAUCAUUAGUUUCUUAAUUAGAAGCUGGUAUGAAUGGUUUAAUGAAAAAAAUACUGUCUUUAAUUAAAUUUGUUUAGAACUUUAUUUUUAAGUUAAAAAGCUUAAAUAAAUCUAAAAGACGAGAAGACCCUAUAGAGUUUAAUAAUUUUAUAAGAUAAUAAUUUUAAGAAUUAUAUAUUAUUUAUUUUAAUAAUUAUUUUGUUGGGGUGACAGAAAAAUUUAAUAAACUUUUUAAGUUAAAAACAUAUAUUUAUGAAUUUAUGAUCCGUUGGUUACGAUUAAAAGAUUAAAUUACCUUAGGGAUAACAGCGUAAUUUUUUUGGCGAGUUCUUAUCAAUAAAAAAGUUUGCGACCUCGAUGUUGGAUUAAAAUUUACAGUUGGUGCAGUAGCUGAGCUGUUAGGUCUGUUCGACCUUUAAAAUUUUNNNNNNNNNNNNNNNNNNNNNNUGUGAGCCAGGUUGGUUUCUAUCUUUAGAUAUAUAAAAUAUUUUAGUACGAGAGGACCAAAUAUUUAUAAAAUUUAUUAUUAUUUGAAUUAAA
RNAcentral lists this ribosomal RNA (599 nucleotides) under Enochrus (Enochrus) sp. IBE-AB85. Its description in RNAcentral is "partial large subunit ribosomal RNA". It matches the Rfam family "Bacterial large subunit ribosomal RNA", at positions 1853 to 2730 of the family's 2925-position model. The record is from RNAcentral. Lineage: Eukaryota; Metazoa; Arthropoda; Insecta; Coleoptera; Hydrophilidae.